UUCAACUUUAUCAUGCAGAAAUAGCUCAUGUAAGUUAAGAUAUUCCUCAUUUUGUCCCUGUCUAGAACCAAGUCUAGAUAUCAUUUUUUAAUCACUCCAGCUACAGAAAAGCAGAAAACCAGAAACUUGAAGUUUCAAUUUAUAUUGAGAUUAAAAGUUUGGUGUUGUCUGGGAAAGAUGUCACACUUUGUAAUACAUUGAAAUAUUGGCUACUAGACUCCGAGGUCCAUAAACACAUUAAAUGCUUCUGAGGGAAAACGGGGAUAUUUAAAAGACUAUUUUCACAUUACAGGUGUCAGAGCUACAUUGUAUAGAAAUUUCUAUAAAGACACAAUCACAGCAGUAGGCAAAAAGCAAACCAAACUAUACAUAAGAUACAUACAGGUCCAAUAUGAAUGAAGAGCUCCUUCACAAGCCCAAAGCUGUCCCAAACACCCUUGUAGUACUACUGAGACUGAGUUGCAGCAAUAGUGAUAAUUCUUAUCGGCCCUUAUGCCCAAACCAAACCUAGGCCAAGGGAAUAACAAUGACACCUGCAUCAGAAGAAAGCUUGGAAGACUCUGGAUUGUCUGUAAGAGCCUCAAAAACAUAACACAGAACCACAGAAACACCACGUUGGAAAAGGAUCUCAAUGACUUCUGGUUCCGCUUUUCUUGGCAAAAGCACAGUCUAGACAAGACGUCCCAAAAGUCUGUCCAGAUGCAUCUUAAAAGUGUCCAGUGUUGGAGAAUCAACUGCUUGCCUGGGGAGAUUAUUCCAAUGGCUGAUUGUUCUCAUUAUAAAAAACUUCCUCCGUGGAGAGAACACAGCUCCUCACAGCAGCUGGACCAGAACACAAAACUCACAGCUCCAAGACUCAAGAAUGCCUGGAGGCUUCAGGGUAUUCAGCAUUGCAUGCAAAACCUCCCGUUUUGUUCUCUUUUAAUGAAGAGUUCUCUCCUGUAAACUUACUCAAAUCUUGUACAGUUUUGAAAGGAUGGGAAACAAAAAGGAAUAUAUUUUGCUUUUCUGAGCUCCAGUAGGAAUUACCUGGUCAGAAGAGAUGAAAAAUCAGUAAAAUGGCUAGUGCAGCCUAUCAACAUCUCAUCUCACCCAAUGGGAAAACUGGGGUUUGAUUUUUUUUGUUGCCAUAUAACAAAUUUAACAAAAUAUACCAAAUUCAGCUGACCUCACAAUUUAAAACUUACUUCCAUUUCAAAAGAGCACCAAUAAAAGAGGAUUUAACUUCCUAUGAUAUAUUUAGUUUGUCCAGAGACCACAGCACUGGUCUACAGGUGGUGGUGGAGCUGGGUGGAGGGACCCACAGAUUCUAGCUUACUCAAAGUGGCAGUAACCAAGUCACUAAACCUGUUUAUCACACCCAAAGAAGAGCUGUGGCCAAGCUUUCCUCUUCCUGCUAUCACUUCAAAAUUCUAACAAGGAAUGCACAUCAAGCACCUCCUGCAUUCUGAUUGUCUUAGAGAUACGCACAGCAGAAGGGUGGGAAACUCUCCUUUUUAAUCCUCCUAAACUGGAGAAACAUUGAAGAGAACCACUGAGCUUGUUACGAAGAGAAACUUGUGUACAACCCUACUGAUGAACACCACUGAACUCUUGAACAUUCUUGAUAAGUGGUCUUUCUCAAAAUUUGUUUUUCCUUGUCUUUUGAAUUUUGUUGAUUUCUACUACCCUGCCCAUGCUACAACACUCAGCGGGGAAGCCUCCCCUUGGGCAGCCCCUGUGCUCUGGUCAGUUUACUCCAUGGAAUUGUCCUCCACCACCAGAACAGUUUCCUGACUCCAGAUGUGGUACUGAAAGGCUGACUCCUGCACUCACUGAUUACACACCACCUCUGCAAAUACACAGAACACACACACAGCCCUACAGCGUUGUGACAUUGUAAAGGUGGUCCUCUACAUGAACCCUCAGAAUCAAGCUGGACAAACACAGCAGCACUGAAAACACAGAGAAAAGAAAGUUUGAAGUCAGAGGCACAGAUCAGAAAAAGACAAUCUGUACUCAUGUAUAAACUCUGUCCUGUCCUCACUUAGGUAACAGUCUAAAGGAAAAUGGUAUGUUCAUUUUUUAAUGGGCUGUCCAGAAAAACCUAAUUAGUGGCCAAAGACUAACUCAUGCUACCGGGAAGUUAUGGAUUAGCUUUUUUUUUUUUCCCCUCAAACAAGCUGUUGAAGAGUAACAAUUACAUACUUUAAACCCAAGGAAAUUAAAAGUCAUGUAUACUUAGUGAUGCAGACGAAGUUUAAGGGCAACUCAAUUCCUAUUGGGAUGCAUCCAAAUUCAGCAGUCUUACAUGAGUAUUUACAGAAUUUAGAGAGACAACAUCUGUACUAAUUCUGUCUGAUAUAACUGACAAUUUAGACAGCUAGUUCCUUUCUAAUGAGGCUGCUUUUUAAAGUUAUCACGUCCUCAUAGCUUGAACUAGCCUUUUUUUUCCUCUGUUGGCUAUUUUUAUGCAUCUGAAAUGCAGCAUUAAAUGCUGCUUUUUUUAUAUAAAGUUUAGUUGCUUAAAGGAGAAUGGGGGUACUGUGAGCUCUUACAGAAACAUUUUAUAAUUCAAGCUGUUAUGCUUCCAUACUAAAAAGUUAACAAGGGGAAAGCUGUAACCACAUUAUGAAUUGAGCCAUUUCAAAAUCAAAACAGGGUAGGAAAACAGUGUAUUCACAAAAUGAAUGCGAAGAUACAUCCCAAUUCAUACAGCAAACCAAAAAAAAAAAAAAAAAACCAAACUGAAAGCUUCUUAACAACAGUUAAUAGAGGAUCCAGAUGAACAUUUCUGUACUUAUUCAACAUCUACUAGAAGGGAGAAGCUAAAGACCAAUCCAGAGGAGUAUUUGCAAUGCAAUUAGGCUAGACAAGUAAGCCUGAAUGUAUGCCAGCUGCAGGGGUCUGCCCUUAAUUCACACAAUCAAAUGUCUAGUGUGUCACACAGUGUCUAGCAUCAGUAUCUCCAGUAUUAAAAGUCUCAUCAGAUAUGCACUUGUUUACUGAGUGUCUAAUCAGGGUCUGAACACAUAUCUAGCUGUACCUUCCAGCAGUCUAUAUGCCAGUCCAUCACCAUCUGUCAGUUAAAGCUCCCGCAGACAGAAAAAAAUCAAUUCUAACAAAUGUGUUCGGUGCUCAAACUAAGCUAUCAUUCACAUUUCAAUAUAAGGCUUGAAUUCCUUUUCAGUGUUCUUCAACUCUGACCCAGCUCUACCCCCUUCUUCACUGAAAAGGGCAAAGACAACAGCCCAGCAAGUGGGACAGGCAAAACAGACCUCCUUUGUUCACUUUUUCCCUUUCAGUUUUCUAUUGAGGUAAAUAACUGAAAGCUCAGUCAGUCUCCAGUAGCUCAGAAGAAAGCAAGAUAGCUAGCUUGCAACUAUCCCUUCCUGGUUAACAAACUGCAGGACAAAACUUACGGCGCAUCAUGUUAAUCUUAUUAUUAGAGAUUAACUCUUUACAAAUUCCCUUAAUAACAUAUUUAUGAGAAAGUAUUCAUAAAUGCAGAAGUUGCAAUGUCCUUAAUAUGGAACUGAACAGGCAAUGCACACACUUACUGAUUUAAAAUGCAACAAAUUAUCACUGCAGAGAAAGUAUUAACAGAAUUUUUUAAAUACUAUCAGCCCACUCAGGAAGGCAAAAUCAAAUUCAUUGCAUAUUGCCCAACACAAUACCUCCUACAUUAUUCCCUCAGCUUUCGUUACCAAGAUAUACUUUCCUCUGUAUGACUUCCCAUUUUACCAACUCUGUUCAUAAAACGUGAAGAAAUGAACAGGUCCAGUGAAAACUGAACAGCACAAUUUUACUGAACUACGUCAAUAUAAUGGAAGUUAAGUAAUCACAAUUCAAGGUGAUUUGAGACAGAUUAAUGAAACUUCAGAAUAACAGCAAUUUCUCAGGCAAAACAGAUUUAGUUUUUAGGCUGACUGAGCUAUUUGAGCUCAAUCAAAAUGCUCAAAAAAUGCCAAACCCUUAGUGUAUUCAAUAUCUUUUAUGUCCUGAUACCAUGGCGAGUCAUUUCGCUAAAGCAGGAAGACUAGACAACAGACAUUACUUGACUUGAAAUAGGAAUCCUCAAAAUAAUAAAAUCUGACAAUGAGAGAGACAUCUUAUUAACCCCAAGAAACUCUCAACUUGGUUACUAAAGCUUCAGCUGUCACCUUUUUGAGCACCAAAGAGAAACAUCACAGUGCAACAAGCUAGCAGGAGGUAUCAGUGUGCAUAACUGGAUUUAUUUCAUUUUCUUAAAAUAAAAACCAUUAAAAAUAGCCAAAUUUCCUUAUUACAGCCCUUUUUGUCAAACAAGCUGUGGCAUACAUGAUAAAUAAUAUGCUUUCCCCAAGAAGAUAUGGAACAGUAUCUAAGGCUCAGAUUCUGGAGAUCUCAUUCACCUUGAACAUCAUUACUUUUGAAUAAUUCUAUUGUGGCCAGUAAUGCUAAUGACAGAACUAAGACAUUAUUAUGAGUAUGAUUAGUUGUGGAUUUAUCUGUGAGCUGUGAAGAAGGUUUUAGCUCCAUCCUUAGCACCAGCUGGUAUACACUACUCCACCAUCCGACGUGGUCACACAACUGCACACUUUGCCUUUAGCUACACUGCCUUUGCACAGCCCAGAACGUGAAUCCGUUCAAUGGAUCCCAAGCUCUGCCACCACCAAACAGCCUUCUGGGUUUGCUUCUUUACAUUCAGUAUUCUCAGAAUGUAACACUUUCCCAGUUCUAUACUGAUAUAGUCUGACAGCUAAUUUUAGACACACAAGAGAAUUUCAAAGUACUUUGAAAUUCAAAUAAGUAACUUUCACAGACUUCGGCAUCACACUCAUUAGAAGCUCUGGCCACUUGCAUUGCAUUUUCUAUUCAAAACUAAAGAAAUGCCUGAGGUGUAUUCACAGAAAUUAUAACAUCAAACAUAUUAGACAAAUAUUAAAAAGAUGCUGCACCUGCAAGUCAGUUUUCUGAUUUCCAGGUCCUUUGAGCUGUGUAACACUGAACUAUCCUUCUCUUUCCGGCUGAUAUCUUUUGCCAAAGAACAGCAGCGAGACGGCUUCUUGGCAUAUAAGCUGCUCUCAAACUCAAAAGACAGUCCAGAUGCUUUCUGAUGUCAUACGGUGACCUGUUUUAUGCACAGACCCGUACAACUACUACCCAUAAAUUAUCAUAUCUAUUAUAUUAAAUUAUGGGAAAUGUCAAAAUUAUUAAUAGUGCACCUAUUAGAUCCGAUAGGAUUUUCAGGUUUCAUCUACCUUCUCCACAAUAUACUUAAUUAAGAAUCAAAAUCAGACAUAGAGAAAGAAAUGCACAAAGACAGGGAACAUUAGAAAAAAGAAAUCCAGGUGUUUAACACUGGCUUUUUCUCUCAGGAGGAGGUUGUUUUGAAUAAACACACAAAAGCUGGACCUUUAUGGAUAAAAGAACAUUUUGUCAUGAUCUGUAGAUUUCACUGCAGAGCUAUAUAUCACAUUUUCCAUUGUUUUAUGCAACUACACAGAGAGCUAAGUAAUAGCAUUCUUUUCACAGAGUACUUGUCAAUAUGGAACAGCCUUAUUGACUGGGCUGAAGCACACUAUGAUCUUAAAUAUUUAAACAGCUUGGCAAUAUUAAUCAGGUACUGUUUACACUUAGACUCCAAAGCCUUGGUUUAAACACAUUUCAGACUUCAAAACUAACACAUCUAUGCUGAAGACCUCAGCGACAGCUGAAGGUUUGGUUAAUUAUUAGUUUAUAACCAAAGAGACAAGUGCACUCGGUGCACAGACUUCACCAGGAUAUUCUGCAUUAAUCGCCUUCAAGAAGCCAAAAUAGGGAAAACACGAAAAGCCCGCAAUUCAGACACACUGUAGCUAUUUUAUACCUAAAUAAAACCGCAACUGUGAGGAGCGGGGAAAGAAAAAAGAAAAGUACGGGUGAUAAAAAAAGGCGCAAGAGGCGAAGCGCCGACCGCGGCAGUUCAGCACCGACAGCUCCUUCCCCCGCACACGCCCGGCCCUCGCCCCGCCGGCCAGAGCACGAAAUGGCGACCGAGCCCGCCCGGGGGUGUGGGCGCGCCGCAGCCGCGGAGCGUCCCCGCCCGGCCCGGGAGGUGCCACCGGCCGCCGCCGCAACAAAGCCCCGCAGCGGCCGCUGGUGCCUCCUCGCCCGCCCCUCGGAGGAGCCCGGCACCCACGGAGGACGGGCGGCUCCUCGCCGUCGAGGCGGCGGUGCGGGGGGAUGGAUGUAAUACCGGCGGUGCGGGGAGGAUGGAUGUGACACCGGCGGGGGCGAGGAUGUGACACUGACGGUGCGGGGAGGAUGGAUGUGAUACCGGCGGUGCUGGGGGGAUGGAUGUGAUACCGGCGGUGUGGGGGGAUGUCACACCGGCGGUGCGAGGAGGAAGGAUGUGACACCGGCGCGACGGCGGGCGCGGCAGCUCACUCUGCGUGAUGCGCGGCGCGGUGACAGGGACAGCCAGUCUCAGAAUCAUCAGCCAGAAGGGGAAGAGUGACAUCUGCACUCAUUAACUGAUUACAGAAGGAGAUGAAGGCACACAGAACCAUGAAGUAGGAAGAAAAGAAAUGGGACUGACAGAGGUGAGAUAUCAAAGACAUCUACUGAUUUGCAUCACUUUCAUCUAUUUCUGAAAUGUCUGUAUUAAGUAUUUUUCCCAAACCCCGGAUGCUAAGAUUAAAAAAAUGCAUAAGCAAUAUCCUCUGCUUAAUUAUAGGAACCGUCAAACUGAAUAACUAUCUCAUCACAUCCUCUUUUUUAUGAAGGCCAGAAACUGAUACUCCAUACUUUGGAACUCCAAAGGAUUUCCAAAGAAAUCCUUUCAACUACUGUGCAACUUCAGACAUUACAGUCUAAGGACAAAAGUUUAUUAUCAACUCCACAUUUAGUGGAGUUUAGUUUAGUUCUGUUGCUACCAUUAAUACCGUAACUGCAUAUUAAAUAAAUGUAUUUGUCUCACUGUUUAAUUUUGUUUUAUGAAGUCACAGCAGAAGUAAAUCCACAGUUUAUUCACGUAUUGUGUUAAAAAAUAAAACCUUCUAAUUUUAUUGAAUAGACCCCUGUUAUCAAAGAAAAGAAGAAACUGGUAAUUCUCGAGAUGCCUUACUAUCUCAAAUUACCACUUUAACUCAUUUGCUUUCGUUAAUGAUAAAGACUCUUAAUGUGUGUUGUCUUUAGGCCACUGUUUACUUUUUUCCCAAUCUUGCAACAGAAAUAUUCUCUAAAAUGGGGAAACAAGGACUGUAAAUAAUAUUUUAAAUGAAACUGUAUUGUAAAUUAAUAUAAUGGCAUUAUAGUAUUUUAUGUAUUUUCAAUCCAAACUGUCACACACUGAAUCAUCUUGUCUGACCACAAGCAUGCAGAUGUUUCAAUAAACCGUCUGUGACAACCUAAA
This is a long non-coding RNA of Motacilla alba alba, 7357 nucleotides long. RefSeq lists it as uncharacterized. The record is from RefSeq and is a predicted model, not a curated record. Lineage: Eukaryota; Metazoa; Chordata; Aves; Passeriformes; Motacillidae. The transcript has 2 exons.